Acinonyx jubatus (cheetah) is the source of this 952-nucleotide non-coding RNA. NCBI's taxonomy places the organism in Eukaryota, Metazoa, Chordata, Mammalia, Carnivora, Felidae. The record is from the annotation of a RefSeq genome assembly.
GUCAGUAUUACAGACCCAAGAACGAGUUCUCAGUGGCUCUAAGUGACAGAAGGAAUGGACAAAUCCUUGAGUUUGCUCAUCCUUUGGUUACAACUGGACUGGGUGAGCAGUAAACAGGAGGUGAUGCAGAGUCCGGAAGCUCUGAAUGUCCAAGAGGGAGACAGCGUGGUUCUCAACUGCAGUUACACCGGUAGCACUUUUUAUUCCCUUCAGUGGUUUAGGCAGGACCCUGGCAAAGGACUCACAGUUCUGUUGUUGAUUCAGUCAGCUCAGAGAGAAGAAACAAGUGGAAGAAUUAAAGCCUCACUGGAUAAACCGUCAAAACACAGUGCUUUAUACAUUGCAGCUUCUCAGCCCAGUGACUCGGCCACCUACCUCUGUGCUAUAGAGGCACAGUGCACAACAGGCUCCUGGCACCAAUACCCAAACUCUGCAGCUGGGGCUCCACCCACGUGCCCUAUCUUGAAGCUGAGGAAUCUUUCUCCAUCGAGGGGCUUUCUAAAUUGACUCUUUUCCCAGAUAGAAGCAAUUAACUAUGCAAAACCUGAUCUAUAUAUGUACACACACAUAUGUAUGUGUAUAUAUGCACAUCUAUGCGUAUGUAUACAUAUAUAUGCACAUAUACGUAUCUGCACAUAUGUUUCUGAAGUUACAUUUGAUCUUUAGAUUUUUAUCAACUUCAACUUCAAUAAUAGCUUUGUUGAGAUUAAUUCACAGGCCAAACAAUUCAUUCUUUUAAAGUGAAUAAUUAAGUGGCAUCUAGUACAUCCACUAUGUUGUACAACCACCACCUCUAUCUAGUUUCAAAACCUUGUCAUCACCCGGAAAGGAAACCACAUACCCAUUAAGCAGUUGCUUACCAUUCUCCCCUCCCCCAAUCCCUGGUCACCUGCAGUCUGUCUCUAUGGGUUUAUUUAUUCUGUUCAUUUCGCAUUAAUGGAAUUGUACAGCC